UACGGAGGGGACUAGCGUUGUUCGGAAUUACUGGGCGUAAAGCGCACGUAGGCGGAUUUGUAAGUCAGGGGUGAAAUCCCGAGGCUCAACCUCGGAACUGCCUUUGAUACUGCAAAUCUCGAGUCCGGAAGAGGUGAGUGGAAUUCCUAGUGUAGAGGUGAAAUUCGUAGAUAUUAGGAAGAACACCAGUGGCGAAGGCGGCUCACUGGUCCGGUACUGACGCUGAGACGCGAAAGCGUGGGGAGCGAACAGG
RNAcentral lists this ribosomal RNA (253 nucleotides) under uncultured bacterium. Its description in RNAcentral is "partial 16S ribosomal RNA". It matches the Rfam family "Bacterial small subunit ribosomal RNA", at positions 524 to 776 of the family's 1533-position model. The record is from RNAcentral.